RNAcentral lists this long non-coding RNA (411 nucleotides) under Zea mays. RNAcentral describes it as "long non-coding RNA (ZMAY_LNC004079)". The record is from RNAcentral. Lineage: Eukaryota; Viridiplantae; Streptophyta; Magnoliopsida; Poales; Poaceae.
GUGGAAGGAAUAUGUUCUGCUAAUCUUUCUCAAAUCGUCUGGGCCUGCCUGGGCUGGGCGGACGGAACAGGGGGGCGGCAGGAAUAACGCGUGCCAGAUUUCUGCUUCUGUCUCCAUGCACGGUGCACCUGCUUUCAACAGCUUCACGGACUGAAAGAAAGACAGGACAAAAGCAAAAGAUCAUUAUUCCUUUUGUUCGACAGAAAUAAAGAAGAAAAAAAAAUGGUCUGAGUGCGUGUGGUCUCUCAGCAAACUGCGUUGCUGGGCAAGCGAAGGGCCGGGACUUGGAGCGACAACAACCCGUACCGCGGACUCGUCGCCUCCAUCUCCUCCGCUGUCUCAUCCGGGUCGCCAUGUCUCUAGAUUCCUCUAGAAAAAUUGCCGGACCACCUUUGUUUCCCUUCAUCCGGG